UACGAAGGGGGCUAGCGUUGCUCGGAUUCACUGGGCGUAAAGGGUGCGCAGGCGGUUGGGUGUGUCAGAUGUGAAAUCCCGAGGCUUAACCUCGGAACUGCGUCUGAAACUACUCGACUAGAGUACUGGAGAGGGAAACGGAAUUCACGGUGUAGCAGUGAAAUGCGUAGAUAUCAUGAGGAACACCAGAGGCGAAGGCGGUUUCCUGGACAGUUACUGACGCUCAGGCACGAAAGCAUGGGGAGCAAAAGGG
RNAcentral lists this ribosomal RNA (253 nucleotides) under uncultured bacterium. Its description in RNAcentral is "partial 16S ribosomal RNA". It matches the Rfam family "Bacterial small subunit ribosomal RNA", at positions 524 to 776 of the family's 1533-position model. The record is from RNAcentral.